RNAcentral lists this long non-coding RNA (827 nucleotides) under Homo sapiens (human). Its description in RNAcentral is "HSALNT0372429". The record is from RNAcentral. Lineage: Eukaryota; Metazoa; Chordata; Mammalia; Primates; Hominidae.
CCCCUAUAUAGUUUAUGCCAACAAGACUACUCAGGAUGGGGGAUGACCAUGCCAGGAAAACCAACCAUGUGAUUAGAGAGCUGGGGCUUUGAGCCAUGUGGUAUCAACUCAACCUCUGGGAAGAGGAAGAGAACAAGAGAUUAAGAACCAUGGGCAAUCAUUCAAUUGAUCACGAGAGCAAAGCAUCCUGACUCCAGGAAGAGAGGGCGAAAGAAGCGUCACCUUCAGCAUCCUUCUAGAUCUCGCCCUAAAUACAUGAACUGGUCAACUUUAUUAAAAACUUCAAAUCUACAUUCUUGCAGGAACAGUUGCAUGCAGAGACAGUCCAACUAUGGAAAUACUUCAGCAAGCACAGCCAAGUGCCUCCCCAGAGCUUUAGCCCCAGUUACUGCCUAGAGUAAAAACAAAACAAGAAAAUGGUCAAAAUGAGUCAAUCUCCUAAACUUCAACCGGAAAAGAGACAAGAGAACAAGACAAACUUCUCCAAUCCCACUUCUGAGAUAGUCAAAAGGCUCAAUCAUAAGUGCUGGAGGAAACUAAAUGGCUCCCUUGGACAGAUGCUCUGGUUCCUUCAAGCCACUAGGCUUUCCAAAAGUCUCCUAGAAUCAUCCAAGGCUUCUAUGCAAAGAUACUUUCCUCCCAAGACUAAAAAGAAUAGCAAGUCCAGAGUUACAGGAGAAUGAUAUCCUGAGAAAGUGUCAAAAUUGCCUUCUGAUUUCCAGGAACAGUAAACCAAUGAAUACACAUAAAGAAGAAAAUCAAAAUACUACUCUAUGCCUUCUUCAGGGAAUUAAACUUUGGUUUGGGGAGCCUGACUCUUCUACUCU